UCCGUAGGUGGCGAGCGUUGUCCGGAUUUACUGGGCGUAAAGAGCGCGCAGGCGGCUGGUCAAGUCCGAUGUGAAAGCUCCCGGCUUAACUGGGAAAUUGCAUCGGAAACUGAUCGGCUGGAAGGUGGGAGAGGGUAGCGGAAUUCCCGGUGUAGUGGUGAAAUGCGUAGAUAUCGGGAGGAACACCAGUGGCGAAAGCGGCUACCUGGCCCAUUCUUGACGCUGAGGCGCGAAAGCUAGGGGAGCAAACGGG
Molecule: ribosomal RNA, 253 nt
Filed under: uncultured bacterium
Lineage: Bacteria
Description: partial 16S ribosomal RNA
Rfam family: Bacterial small subunit ribosomal RNA
Source: RNAcentral